CCGACGUUCUCCGACUCUUCCUCCUCCUCCUCCUCCUCCUCCUCCUCCUCCUCCUCUUCUCCUACACCGGCUUUCCAGACAUCUCUCUCUCUCUCUCUCUCUCUCUCUCUCUCUUUCUCUCUUUCUCUCUCUCUUUCUCUCUCUCUCGCUCUCUCUCUCUUUCUCUCUCUUUCUCUCUCUUUCUCUCUCUCUCGCUCUCUUUCGCUCUCUUUCGCUCUCUUUCGCUCUGUUUCGCUCUCUCUCUCGCUCGCUCGCUCGCUCGCUCGCUCUCGUUCCCUCCCUCUCUCCGAACCCUAACGCUAAUCCAACCGUGUUACCCGAGUCGAACCCAUGACCACGAAUUCAGGUGGUCCCUUCAUAUCCUCGUCCGCUCCAUUGUGACAUCCAUUAAAAAUAAAUAAAUAGUGUCUUUUGUCUCAUCGCUUUCCUAGUCUCGCCUGCAUCACGUUUAAAUAGAAAACAGAGGAGACGCAAUAAUGAUAACGAUUGCAAUUGGCUGGCAACCAGUUCAGGAUGCACUCCUCUUACUGUACAGAGACCACUGGGAGAGACUCCAGCGCACCCACGACCAUUAUGAGGAUAAGCGAGUCACAAAAUGGAUAGAUAAUAAUGGCAAUAACGAAAUCUGUCAAAUUCUCAGUUCGGAACCGGGGCGAGUGCAGAUAAAGUCAAGUCCAAAUCCGUAAUAGUUGAGCGGCUUGAAGUCAUGACCUUCAAACACGACUGAAGUUGCUUCAGCAUGGCGGAUACAUAUUGUAUAAUGCACAUUUGCAAUGUACAGCCCGGUAGGCAGGCUUUUCUGCGGUGCAAUAGCUCUGCCUGCAGGCAAUUUAUAAAAAUGCGGGCUCGGAGGACCUUUAAAAAUAAACGCGUCAUAUUGAUGAAGUCAUCAAAAAAGGACGCUACUCCAGAAUACAAAACAGAAAAACGUGGAGCGCACGCACGUUUGAGUAUUGUUUUCGUGUCGUUCAUCCAAAAAAACACAAGCUGUACAGAAUGUCAAAGAGCCGCCAAAGGAGCCAGUAAAUGUUGUCAGUGCUACUCUGCUUUUCUCUCAGCUUUGAUGGAUUUCAGUUGUUGUGCACAUGUGAUUGAUAACAUUAUUUUUACCCACUUUAUAUUGUAAAUAACCAUAUAACUGUUAUUAAAUGCCAUUAUUUAAAUUAAAAAUUACUCUGUGUACAAAUCUA
Long non-coding RNA from Syngnathus typhle (broad-nosed pipefish), 1190 nucleotides. RefSeq lists it as uncharacterized. The record is from RefSeq and is a predicted model, not a curated record. The transcript has 2 exons. Lineage: Eukaryota; Metazoa; Chordata; Actinopteri; Syngnathiformes; Syngnathidae.